Molecule: long non-coding RNA, 1827 nt
Organism: Strigops habroptila (Kakapo)
Lineage: Eukaryota; Metazoa; Chordata; Aves; Psittaciformes; Psittacidae
Source: Ensembl
AAGCUUUAUGCAUUUAUUAAAAUAUACAGAUUUUGGUAAAUUUAGAUUUUUUUUCAUAGUAUCUUGACUAUAUAUAUAUAAUAUGUAUAAUUGCCAACAACACAAUCAUUUCAAAAGAAAACUCACUCCAUAACAUAUCUGUAUAUUUUUUUCUUUCUCAUGACACACUACAAGAUCCCAUUGUACAAUGCACCAAUGGGCUUUUGGAAACCACAAAAAAAAUUUUAAUAGAACAAACUGUUUUUAACAAAUACACCAAUUUCAUACCAGAACUGCUGAGAAUUGUUACACCAGGAAGUACCACCUGCAAAAAAAGCAAGAUAUACAUCAUAAAGACUGAACAAAACAAGGUGAAGGUCAUUUACAAGCUGGAUUUACAACAUCCCAUGUCAUUCGGAGUGUGAUUUCUCUGCUAUGUGGAGGAUACCGGUGUGCUGGGCCUUGCACUGAGUGGUCAUAAUGGUGUAGAGUGAAUCUGUGGAGGGGUGAGAUCUUAUAGAGUUGGUCUGGAAGAGCUGAGGUAUUUAUGCUCCGUCGGUAUCAUGUAUUGGGCUCCUCAGUGCAUGUGCCCUGCGGAGGGCUGUCAGGCAUGGAGGGGCUGUGUGCCUCUUACCGGUGGUGGGAGCAGCAUGGUACCACUCUGCCUGUGUCCUCCUGGUGGGUCAGAGGUGUGGGAACCUCUCUGAGGGCACCCAGGAGGAAGGCUAGAUUUUGGGGUUACAUCAAAACAUGCACUCACACCUCCUCCCAGUGUCUGAAACUGCUCCUGGUGCCAGCGGUGCCCAGAGGUGAUGGAAACGCCUGAAAGUGUUGGACUUCGCAGCUUUUGCUUGUGCCCGUUGAAGACCCUAAUGCCUGCUACAGGAGAAAGAGCGCGAGCUCCCUAAUGGAGGCUGAACCUGCAUGUCCCCCAGGCACUGCCACCCAGAGCAGGGUGCAGGGACCCCACUGCAAACCGGCCUCCCUGGGCACUGGCCGCUCAGCCGCCUGCAAGCCCCAGUUAGACCCAGCCUGCGGCUCAGCCACCUUCUCCCUAUGCACCUCUGUUAGGUGAGAUGUGGUGGGCUCGGGAGGAGGGUACAGCUCUCACCCUUGACAUGGCAAGGACUGCUGGCAGCCCAGCCACAUCAGACAGCGCCAUGGCAUCAAACGCUCUUUUCCAGCAGUCCCGGGAAUAAGGUGCAGAUAUUUUGCCCCAGCACUUCCCUGGGAAGGGGAAGGAGAAUGUGUGAAUGGGAACAGGAGUAGCUGAAGGGCUUCACUCAAUACAUGGAUCCAAUGAAGAGGUUCUUAUAGACACCAAAGAGCAACGGAUCAAGCCCUCAUCGAAUUAUACAGAGUAACUAGAGAGGACAUGAUAACAGACACUGGUACUGGUAACUGCUCUGUAGCAAGAGAUUAAGGCUGCAAAAGGAAUAACAGACUUUGAUUCGACAGGGUACUUGGGCACGAGUUUGUGGUUCAGCAGAUGCCUAAAUACCAUGUGGAAGCAGGACAAAGACAACUACCUCAGAUACAGUAUAGUAUAACAGCUGGUAGGAAAAUAGCAUCAAUCUUUCUCCCUGAAAAUGUAAAGCCAGACCUGCGAGGUGCCAUCUCUCUUGGAUACUUCUAAGGCAUUGAGGACAAGAGCAGUCAAGCACAAGUGAGAGGUGACCUUUGUGAGAGGUGCUCAGCACUGCUGGAAAGGUUUCGCAGGCUGGUCCGUGAGUGGUACACACAUUGCAAACAGCUUUUCAGUGAAACACAUGAUUUCUGACUGUAGAACUGUGGUAGGGGUGGACAAUGGGAGGAGAUGCCAGAGCAAAGCUUACAAGUCCUUUUGCC